ACUCGNGUGAAUGGAUUAAGAGUUGACCUCAUCAAGUUUUAGCAGGUCGUGAGAGGCCCUUUUGUAAAAUUCGUUGAGCUCAAUGGGAUAACUAAGGGCGACCGGGACUACUGCCUUCGGACAUUUUCAACGGCAAACUCNUAAAUUGAAAGGCGGCUUCGGCUGUCACUUAUGGAUGGACCCGCGUCGCAUUAGCUAGUUGGUGAGGUAACGGCUCUCCAAGGCAACGAUGCGUUGCCGACCUGAGCGGGGGCUCACCCUUAUUGGCCCUGAGCCAGGACCAAAUUCUANNCGGGAGGCAGCAGUAGGGAAUCUUCCGCAAUGUACGAAAGUCUGACCGAGCAACGACGUUUUAAGUGAUGAAGGCUUUCGGGGUCGNAAAAACUGUGUUGUAGGGGAAGACCAAAUGCUAGGGGAAUAAGGUAGGAACUUGUAUGGGUCCUAAAGGGGAAAGCACCUGCUAGUUACUUUACAACGGCU
Molecule: ribosomal RNA, 480 nt
Filed under: Bacillus sp. R15(3)
Lineage: Bacteria; Bacillati; Bacillota; Bacilli; Caryophanales; Bacillaceae
Description: bacterial SSU rRNA
Rfam family: Bacterial small subunit ribosomal RNA
Source: RNAcentral